RNAcentral lists this small RNA (2675 nucleotides) under Pan troglodytes (chimpanzee). Its description in RNAcentral is "retained intron". Lineage: Eukaryota; Metazoa; Chordata; Mammalia; Primates; Hominidae. The record is from RNAcentral.
CUCGCUUUGUCUCCCAGGCUGGAGUGCAGUGGUGCCAUCUCGGCUCACUGCAACCACCACCUUCCAGGUUCAAGCAGUUCUCUCACUCAGUCUCCCGAGUAGCUGGAACUACAGGCACCUGCCCCUACACCUGGCUAUUUUUUGUAAUUUUUUUUUUCGUAGAGACAGGGUUUCACCAUGUCGGCCAGGCUGGUUUUGAACUCCUGACCUCAAGUGAUUUGCCUGCCUCAGCCUCCCAACGUUCUGGGACUACAGGUGUGAGCCAAUGAGCCCAGCUCCACCUCUUUCAUGUUUAUUCAUUCUAUAAGAAGCACAGCAGUUCGUAGACUGUCUUCAGGGGCUAUUAAUUACUGGAGCUAUUCUUCACAGGCUUGAGAAGUUAUGCUUGCUCUGAGUCUCUGUAAGUGGAUUCAUUUUUGCUGAGAGUGAGGAAAGUGGGUUAAGAAGAAGGAGUACAUCAUUAUCUCAUGAGUAGAUACUUUCCUGGAAGGAAAUUCAUCAGUUGGUGGACCGUGGAAUUUGGGAAGCCCCGGAGGAAUAUUGGUCUAUUUAUUAAAACGCUGACUUAAUGGUUUAUUCCUGAUGAUGGUUGUGUGGUCAGUAGCUCAUUCUGGGGAGCUACUGGCAGCCUGGACCUAGAGAAGAAGCCUGUUUAUGAACUACAGGUCGAAUAUCCCUAAUCUGAAAAUCUAAAACUUUUUCUAAAAAUUUGUAUUUAUUUUUUUGAGACAGGGUCUUGCCCCUAUUACCCAGGCUGGAGUGCAGUCGUGUGAUCGCGGCUCACUGCAGCCUCGACUUCCCAGGCUCAGCUGAUUCUAUUUUUAGUAGGGAUAGGGUUUUGCCAUGUUGCCCUGGCUGGUCUGGAACUCCUGAUCUAAAACGAUCUGCCCACCUCAGCCUCCCAAAGUGCUGGGAUUACCAGCAUGAGUCACUGUGCCUGGCCUGAAAAUCCAAAACUUUUGGGUGCCCACAUGAGGCUCAAAUAAAGAUCUGUAAUUUCAAAUAAGGGAUAUGUCAUUGGUAGAACAAAGUGAACUGGGUCGCACAGACUUUGGCCUCAUUAACUCCUUGUUACUUACGGUAUAUUGUUUGACGUCGCGUAUUUCUAAGUCUUUGUUUGCAGCCUGAAACCAAAACAUCAAAAGGUCCUUCAAAGAAACAUAAAAUUCUAUAUGUGUCUUAUGGAUAUAUGUUUAAUAUAUCCAUACCUAUAUAUACGGAAAAGUAAUUAUUUGAUGUUAAGGGUAAAGUUGCUGAAAAGUGUCAAUGGCUCUAGAAAUAUUUUGUAUAAAAGGAUCAGGACUAUACAACACAUUUAACUGUUGCAAGUAGAUUUUAUGUCCGCAGAAUAGAAAUAAUCUCAUCCCCAGACACCUCCGGUCAUAUGUUCAGUAAUGCCCCCCACCUGCCAUUAGCCAUAAUCAGGUUCACAGGUGUGUAGUGAGCUGAAGAUAAGACACAUCGGCACAGUGUGCUAAACAUUUUUAUUUGUAAUAAGACUAAAUGAAACCUUUAUUGCCAAUAAUAAACUUACCCAGUGCCCAUGGCUUCUUGGUCCUUGCUGAUCAACACAUAAAAAGCUGAUGCACUUAUUCAUUAAAUUACUUAUUCAUUUGUUUGGGUAAAACAAUAAGCUGAUGCUAAUCUUGGGCUGAAACAACUUUCCUGAACAGGUUAUGUGGGUCAUGAAUUUAUUUUGGACACGAGACCCUUCAAAAAGUCUGCAAAUAUUGAGGCUGUGGAUGUGGCCAAGAGACUCCAGGAUUAUGGAUUUCACGCCCCUACCAUGUCCUGGCCUGUGGCAGGGACCCUCAUGGUGGAGCCCACUGAGUCGGAGGACAAGGCAGAGCUGGACAGAUUCUGUGAUGCCAUGAUCAGCAUUCGGCAGGAAAUUGCUGACAUUGAGGAGGGCCGCGUCGACCCCAGGGUCAAUCCGCUGAAGAUGUCUCCACACUCCCUGACCUGCGUUACAUCUUCCCACUGGGACCGGCCUUAUUCCAGAGAGGUGGCAGCAUUCCCACUCCCCUUCGUGAAACCAGAGAACAAAUUCUGGCCAACGAUUGCCCGGAUUGAUGACAUAUAUGGAGAUCAGCACCUGGUUUGUACCUGCCCACCCAUGGAAGUUUAUGAGUCUCCAUUUUCUGAACAAAAGAGGGCGUCCUCUUAGUCCUGUCUCCCUAAGUUUAAAGGACUGAUUUGAUGCCUCUCCCUAGAGCAUUUGAUAAGCAAGAAAGAUUUCAUCUCCCACCCCAGCCUCAAGUAGGAGUUUUAUAUAAUGUGUAUAUCUCUGUAAUCUCUGUCAAGGUAAAUGUAAAUACAGUAGCUGGAAGGAGUCGAAGCUGAUGGUUGGAAGACGGAUUUGCUUUGGUAUUCUGCUUCCACAUGUGCCAGCUGCCUGGAUUGGGAGCCAUUUUGUGUUUUGCGUAGAAAGUUUUAGGAACUUUAACUUUUAAUGUGGCAAGUUUGCAGAUGUCAUAGAGGCUAUCCUGGAGACUUAAUAGACAUUUUUUUGUUCCAAAAGAGUCCAUGUGGACUGUGCCAUCUGUGGGAAAUCCCAGGGCAAAUGUUUACAUUUUGUAUACCCUGAAGAACUCACUUUUCCUCUAAUAUGCCUAAUCUGUAAUCACAUUUCUGAGUGUUUUCCUCUUUUUCUGUGUGAGGUUUUUUUUUAAAUC